CGCGCAGCAGAGCGGCGCCGGCGAAGGCGCUGCGGGAGCGGGCUGAGGGAGGGGAUUUACCUGAGGGGAGGAGGGCUCAGGUCCUUUGUGAGACGGUGUCAAUGGGAAAUUAGCAGUCAGCUGCAUACCGUCCGCCUCCAGCGUGGCCCUGGGGAGCUGCAGUGCUGCUGAGAGGAGCCCAGGACUCUGCAGGCUGUGCUCCGUUUGUUCAUAUAGCUGAAAGAAUAUCCUGACGCAGUGCUCCAGCAGCAGACGGGGCAA
This 261-nucleotide long non-coding RNA is filed under the name Chrysolophus pictus (golden pheasant). RNAcentral's name for it is "lncRNA (ENSCPIG00010005555.1)". The record is from RNAcentral. Lineage: Eukaryota; Metazoa; Chordata; Aves; Galliformes; Phasianidae.